This 340-nucleotide ribosomal RNA is filed under the name uncultured bacterium. Its description in RNAcentral is "partial 16S ribosomal RNA". It matches the Rfam family "Bacterial small subunit ribosomal RNA", at positions 338 to 695 of the family's 1533-position model. The record is from RNAcentral.
CCUACGGGAGGCAGCAGUAGGGAAUAUUGCUCAAUGGGGGAAACCCUGAAGCAGCAACGCCGCGUGGAGGAUGAAGGUUUUCGGAUUGUAAACUCCUUUUGUUAGAGAAGAUAAUGACGGUAUCUAACGAAUAAGCACCGGCUAACUCCGUGCCAGCAGCCGCGGUAAUACGGAGGGUGCAAGCGUUACUCGGAAUCACUGGGCGUAAAGAGCGCGUAGGCGGGAUAGCAAGUCAGAUGUGAAAUCCUAUGGCUUAACCAUAGAAAUGCAUUUGAAACUGGUAUUCUAGAGGAUGGGAGAGGGAAGGGGAAAUUCUGGGGGAGGGGUAAAAAUCGGAGAG